Long non-coding RNA from Micropterus salmoides (largemouth bass), 342 nucleotides. RefSeq lists it as uncharacterized. The record is from RefSeq and is a predicted model, not a curated record. NCBI's taxonomy places the organism in Eukaryota, Metazoa, Chordata, Actinopteri, Centrarchiformes, Centrarchidae. The transcript is spliced from 3 exons.
UCAGUAUCACCAGCAGUAUCAACAGCAAUGUCACCGACAUUAUCCACAUCUCUGGUUUCUUCAACCCAGUCAACUACUGAGUCUGCAGAGAAUCGUGGUGACCGUCAGGUCGUCAUUACUGUGAUCGUCUGUGUAGCUGUGCUGCUGCUGUUUGUGCUGAUUUUGAUCUACAAACGAUUUUCACAUUUAAAGAACACAAGAAAUGGAGCAGCAGCACAGCACAAACAAGUCAGUGUAUAAAUGAGACUGUCCUCCAUAGAAAAACGACCAUAUAGGUUGUUUAAUCCACACAAAAGUACAACUCAUGUUUACGUUCAUUGUGGCAGCGACCUCUAGUGGCCG